RNAcentral lists this small nucleolar RNA (107 nucleotides) under Gossypium barbadense (sea-island cotton). Its description in RNAcentral is "Plant small nucleolar RNA R71". It matches the Rfam family "Plant small nucleolar RNA R71". From Rfam's summary of the family: R71 is a member of the C/D box family of snoRNAs containing the C (UGAUGA) and D (CUGA) box motifs. Multiple nearly identical copies of this snoRNA have been identified in Arabidopsis, and it is thought to function as a 2'-O-ribose methylation guide for 18S ribosomal RNA. RNAcentral also lists the same sequence under 1 other name. Lineage: Eukaryota; Viridiplantae; Streptophyta; Magnoliopsida; Malvales; Malvaceae. The record is from Rfam by way of RNAcentral.
AACCUAUGGUGAGGGCACCUCCUCAAUGAAUCCUUAUACCUCUCACAUGCAUCAUAUAACAUCUCUAAAUCGAUCUACUCAAAGGAAAAGAUGUCGUUCCUCAACUU